RNAcentral lists this ribosomal RNA (406 nucleotides) under uncultured bacterium. RNAcentral's name for it is "partial 16S ribosomal RNA". It matches the Rfam family "Bacterial small subunit ribosomal RNA", at positions 30 to 526 of the family's 1533-position model. The record is from RNAcentral.
AUUGAACGCUGGCGGCAGGCCUAACACAUGCAAGUCGACCGAGUGGCGGACGGGUGAGUAAUGUCUGGGAAACUGCCUGAUGGAGGGGGAUAACUACUGGAAACGGUAGCUAAUACCGACUACCAACAGAUGUGCCCAUAUGGGAUGAGCUUGUUGGUGGGGUAACGGCUCACCAAUGCGACGAUCCCUAUCUGGUCUGAAAGGAUGACCAGCCACACUGGAACUGAGCCACGCUCCAGACUCCUACGGGAGGCAGCAGUGGGAAAUAUUGCACAAUGGGCGCAAGCCUGAUGCAGCCAUGCAGCGUGUAUGAAGAAGGCCUGCGGGUUGUAAAGUACUUUCAGCGGGGAGGCGUUACCCGCAGAAGAAGCACCGGCUAACUCCGUGCCAGCAGCCGCGGUAAUUC